UUGUUCCCAAGCCUGAAGACCUU
Molecule: small RNA, 23 nt
Filed under: Arabidopsis thaliana (thale cress)
Lineage: Eukaryota; Viridiplantae; Streptophyta; Magnoliopsida; Brassicales; Brassicaceae
Description: ATSL229230
Source: RNAcentral